GAACCACUUUAAGGAUCAUUUUUGCAGCCAACUCUGGAGCCUCCUUUAAAUGCUUUUGAAUCAGCAGCUCCUGGGUUUGCAACACUGCUCAGAAUGCAGAGUAAAGGGCACCGGUGCUAACGAUUCUCACUGCUGCUGGCAUCCUGUUUGAAGGUUUCAUGUGAUUUUUAUUUUAACUUUUUGGAUUCCUUUACCAGUCACCACUGGAUUUUUUUUGUUACCCCUGAUGUGGCCUCUUGUGGCGUGAGCACGAUGAAGAAAUGUUUCAGAAGCCUGGCAAUGUGAUCUUUAUGUAAUGAGUCAGGAUUCGCUAAGGGAAGGGAGCAGAGGGCUGAGGAAUCAACCUACUCCAGCAGGGGAAUGACAAGCAGUGCUGCUGCUGCUGCUGCCCGGGCUCUCCCACAUACACUAUUCUCACAGCUCCUGUGAAAUGACACUCCACCACCCACCACUUCCUACACAGCUGUAUACCGCAGGGAAAAUGAGGGACUUUUGGGGGCAGAUGUGUUUCACUUACACUACCAUAAUGCCCCUAAAAAUCCUUAUUGUUCUUGCAGUGUUCUUCAGAGUCUCACACUGGAACAGAGCAAAGAAGGAGCUUGACUGCUGGAAAUCUAAAGAGCCAUUUUGAGCCUUGUCUUUUUUUGACUUUUUACUAAAAUAGAAUCGUGAAUAAAAUAAAAGCAAUAAAAUAAUUUCCAGAGAUUGGAUGGAUUAAUAGGCAUGUGCUGACUCUUUUAUUAACAGAUGGGUUUAUUAUGUUCAUUCUUCUGACAAUGACUAAUUGGCUUUGCAUAUUUAAGUAAAGAUUUAGAUAAAUAUCUUGUAAUAUGAUAUACAUUUUAUUUAUUAGGAAUACAUGUAUUACAAAUGCAAUGAGCUAUAAAUGUCCACAUAACUUUUUAGUUGCAGCCACUUAAUAGAAUUCUGCAAUUUGACUACAAUGGGAAGUGCUACAAGCAGCUACAAGUAGCACUCCUUCAUUAUACCAUACAACACAUUUCCUGCUUCUUAUAAUGCGAAUAUAACACAAUAGCACAGCAUAAAAUACAGCAUCUGACUGACCAGCCAGAACUAAGAAUGCAAGCUGGACCAAUAACACCUUCAUAAACAUUUGGGGAAAUAAAAAAUAGAGAUGUAAACGGAUAUUCAACUAUUAACAUUCUGGGGACACAUUUUACAAUUUGGUAGCUAGAGCUUUGGUUUUAUCUAAGUGAGCUACAACCUCCAGAACCCCUGGAAAAAAAGCUGGAAUUCUGAGAGUUACAGCUAAAUAAGAUCCAGAGGGCUUCAGAUUGCCUUUUAUUUGUGCAAGGUAAGCAGCUAUGCUUGACUAUGAACCUAGAAUAUUUUAGAAUAAAUAAUAGGCAUGCUUGUAAUAUAUCAAGGCAAUUAGUGGAGCAUUUUGUUAAAGCUUCUUUGUCUUAAACACACACACACCCAUAUAAUAUGCAUUUAUGAGAAUAUGAGAAAAAACAUCGGUACUCAUAGGUCUUGUGCAAGAUGUAUAGCUUAUUAGUUAACCAAUGUUUCAGUCUCCACCCAGCCCUUUUUUAUGUCUUACACCUAAAGAAGUGGAAAUGUUAGGUCACUGUUCACUUAUAAGAAGAGGUAGUGGCUUUCACAAUUCAAAUAAAUAUAGAAAUUUGGAUCCAACACUAGUCUUCUUUGUUCCUCUUGAGAUUUGUCCCUCUCUCCUCUAAAGUUCAUCCAUCAGGCGACACAGAAUGAAAUCAAUCUGCUAUGGAUGUCAAUGCUAGUGUUUCAUGGGCAGCUUUAUUUGCUUCCCUUACAUGAUGAACAGGUGAGGAGCUCGAGCAUUGCCUGGCCGUGCCAGAGGUCCUUCAUUUCUUCAUUUCCUUCCUGCAAAUAAACUCAUUAUAAGCAAACAUUAUGCAAGUACAGCUGGAAUUUUAUAUUGGCUUUACAUAUAGAAUCACAUUCAAACUCUGCUGGCAUAAUACAGACUUGCUGUAUUUAUUGAACCAUGUUCAAAAUUCUUUGGUAUGCUUCCAAUGGAUUUGUACUUAAAUGAAUGACUAUGAAGCUCUUAAUGCUCCUGUAAAAUGGAUCUUUCUUGCAUAAAAUAUGUGACUGUGUGAAAAAUAAGAAAGAUGGUUGCUGGAGAAAAAUUGCAGUUGAAUGUACAGUAUGAAAUUUUGAAUUAUGUAAAUAUAGUCAUAAUUAACCAGCCCAGUCCUAUAGUAUUUUAUUUAUAUUUCUAUAAAGUUUACAUAUGCACCAGUAUGAAAGAGAUUAAUGGACCUAGAUGCUUCUUUAAAAUGAUGUAACUAUAUAACGGAAACCUACCUAAGAACCUAGGCUGAGCAUAAAGAUUACUUAAACAUAAUAAUGACGUUGAAACAAAUGCAGAUUAUUAACAUAUUUUUACCUUUAUAGGAUUAUCUACGUGCAGUACUGUGCAGUACUGGGCCCAAUGUAACUCCAGAUUUAAGUAGGAGGCUUUUAUAGGAAAUACUUUAGAGUAGACUUGUGGAUAAACAGAAAAGCGUCCUCAUUUUUGAUGAUUGUUUAUUUUGCCGAUUACUUGACACUUUGAUGAAUCUCUAUAAGGUCAGAGCACAGUGUACUUGCAAGUCCAUUUGCUUCUCUAUGUUGUUCCAUUAGUUCUUCCUCUUGUUCUGUCCCCUUGUACCCUUUACUUUUAAGCCUUUCUCUUUCCAUCAUUGUAAGAGAGAGUGUGCAGAACAAGCCGUAAUAUUUAUGACAGCACUAUUUAUUGAAGUUGUUCCACUUGAUAUGUUUGCUUUGACAGUCUUUAAAAAAUAAAACAUGUUAAAAAUGGAAACAGCAUAACAAUUCUGAUAAAUAAUAGGCUUUAACUCCUAUUUUGAAUAGCAUGUAGUAUAAAUUUUAUAACGUCCCUAAAAUUGUUUUUUUGCAUUAAUAUUUUACUGUUUCAGCAUCUGGAAACCAUUCAUCUUAUGACAUUAUAUUAACUAUCUAAGAGGCAGCAGCAGCUGUAGUAUCUAUGGUGCUGGUAUAAAAGAGUCUACAUUCUGGACUGCAACAGGCAAUGAAAAGGUUAAAGAGUAGAGGUAAAAAUAACCACAGAAGCAUACAUAUGUAUCAAAUAAACAUAAUCUCAUUCAAAGCA
Molecule: long non-coding RNA, 3118 nt
Organism: Xenopus tropicalis (tropical clawed frog)
Lineage: Eukaryota; Metazoa; Chordata; Amphibia; Anura; Pipidae
Exons: 2
Source: RefSeq, a predicted model, not a curated record